Molecule: ribosomal RNA, 1138 nt
Filed under: Picocystis salinarum
Lineage: Eukaryota; Viridiplantae; Chlorophyta; Picocystophyceae; Picocystales; Picocystaceae
Description: partial Bacterial large subunit ribosomal RNA
Rfam family: Bacterial large subunit ribosomal RNA
Source: RNAcentral
UCAAAAGACAAAGAGCGUAUGGUGGAUACCUAGGCACUCAGAGACGACGAAGGGCGUGGUUACCGACGAAACCCUCCGAGAAGCUGGAAGCAAGCAAUGAUCCGGAGAUUCCCGAAUUGGGCAACCAAUAAAACGUGCAACUGAAUUCAUAAGUUGUAACGAGUCAACCUAGUGAAUUGAAACAUCUUAGUAGCUAGAGGAAAAGAAAGCAAACGCGAUUCCCUGAGUAGUGGCGAGCGAAAAGGGAACAGCCUAAACCGACAUUAAGUCGGUGUUGUGGGACCAGUAAAUAAGUAAAAAUUUUGCUUAAAUGAAGCAGCUGAAUACUGCACCAAAGAUGGUGAAAGUCCAGUAAUUUAAAAGCAAAUAAUACAAAAUGGAUAUCCCAAGUAGCAUGGGGCACGUGAAAUCCCGUGUGAAUCUACGAGGACCACCUCGUAAGGCUAAAUACUCCUGAGUGACCGAUAGUGUACUAGUACCGCGAGGGAAAGGUGAAAAGAACCCCCUUAGGGGAGUGAAAUAGACCAUGAAACCGUAUGCUUACAAGCAGUGGAAGGUGUAAAGUGCUGACCGCGUGCCUGUUGAAGAAUGAGCCGGCGACUUAUAAAGAGUGGCUUGGUUAAGACAUCAAGUCGAAGCCGUAGCGAAAGCGAGUCUGAAUAGGGCGCAGAGUCCGAGGAGGUAGACGCGAAACUUUGUGAUCUACCCAUGAGCAGGCUGAAGGUUGGGUAACACCACCUGGAGGGCCGAACCAGUUUCCGUUGAAAAGGAUUUGGAUGACUUGUGGGUAGGGGUGAAAGGCCAAUCAAACUCGGAGAUCGCUGGUUUUCCGCGAAAGCUAUGGAGGUAGCGCGUGGAGAAGGCCUGGACCGGAGGUAGAGCGCGGUUGGGGCCUCGCGCCCCGACCACCUUCCAAUGCCGGCGCCAGGAUCCUCCGCAGACAGACCUUCGGUGCGAAGAUCGAAGGUCGAAAGGGAAACAGCCCUGCUCGCACGCUAAGGUCCCCAAGCCGCCCACCAGUGGGAAAGGAGGGGCGCGCCCGAAGACAGCCAGGAGGUGGGCUUGGAAGCAGCCAUCCUCGGAGGAACGCGUAAGAGCGCACUGGUCGAGGGCGCGCCCGCCGAGAAUGUACCGGGGC